GGGGCGACUCGGCUUUUUUCACCUAUCUCAUUUUCCAGCAGGCUAGCUCAAACAUAUUUCUCUCAAGGCAACAGCAGAUGGCAAGAGCACAAGCAGAAAUAAGCAAGUACCUUUUCAAGCCUCCAUUUGCAUGAUGCAUGCUAACAUCCAAUUAUUCUGAAGACUGGAGGACAAUGCAGGCUUCCCCCCAAGGAAUGGAAGAUGAGAAAACCAGAUUCCCUGGCACGUGCCCACUGUCUGACCCAGAGCAGCUCUAUAUUAGAUAAUUAGCUGGUUCUAGGAUCAUCAUUUCUUUUUCUCCAUGAUUUAUUGACUCUUAAAUGCAACCAUUUCUUCACCCUGUCAUUGUCGAGCACUUAACCCAAAAUUUUAUUGAAAUCAAGAGAUGUUUUCCUUGCUAUUACAUUGGGAGCAGAAUACGAUCCUUUGAACACUUCCAAAGUUCAUUUUUGUUUCUCAGUGACUGCUUUCAAGUUUUCAAACAAGAAAGGAUUUUGUUUUUCUCUG
Molecule: non-coding RNA, 507 nt
Organism: Macaca mulatta (Rhesus monkey)
Lineage: Eukaryota; Metazoa; Chordata; Mammalia; Primates; Cercopithecidae
Source: RefSeq, a predicted model, not a curated record